AAUGAUUAGUCGUUGUGGACUCGUCUAACGCUUAAGCGCAUUCGACCAAGGCAAGCCACGAUCGAGAGAAUGGUAGAUGUUCUUUCCCAACUGGAUUCACGCAGAAGCGCCACAUGGAACAUCAGUUAUCUUCAACCUUAAACAAGGGAGGUUAUAAAUAGCAGGAGCAAACACAGAAGAGGAGUCCAAUCCUUCGAUCCAAACACAAACUCUUUACCAAUAAUGUUGAUGAUUAUCUUAGUGUAGCAUCUUAGCUUAGUUCAUUCACUAUUCAAUGCUCGUAAGCCCUAGACAUUUAAGAUAGAAGUAGCAUCAGUCUGUCCCUAGCACGCCAAACUAGCUUAUAGUUUCCAAUAGUUGUAAUUCCAUUCCAUUUGUGCCCGUGCGCUGGAUCUGAAAGAAGGUUGUUAACCUUAGGACCUGUCUGCCUAUGUACAUAUGCUGGGCUGACUUUACUUCUUUUUUUCUUUUCUUUUUUUAAUCUCUGGAAUUGCGAAUGCCCUGCCCACCAAUACACUGUCACUACUACUCUCAGCUAGGGUUGGCAAUCCCGCCUAGUGGUAAGAAGACCAUGACUGGUCAUGUUUGAAAUCCACAUCUAUUUCCAUCUACCUCCACUCGUUAAAUCAUACAAUUGUUAAACCUUUGCAAUGUUAGUACAUUGAUUUGUGCACCUGUUUUGAAAUAUUGGACAAUUCCAGCCAUUUAUCUGGGCUAGGGACCUUCUUUUGAUGAAUCUAAGCCAGAGAACAUGGAUUCUUGGCUGGGCGAUCCUGUCGGCCCAGCCUUCUCUAGUGCCGAAGGGGCAAGAAGUCGCGAGAGGGAGCUCAGCCCAUAGCAGUAAUUUUAGGACAGGAUCCUAUUAGGUUGAGCCUAGGAAACGUUGACCGAGCUCGGGUCAGGGCGGUGUACCGGAUUCUUAGUUUUAUGGUACUUCACGCUCCCGAGCUUGGCGAUGUCUCUGGUUAAAGAUGGUUGAUUGCCCUUGCUAUGGGAAGAGAUUCCGUCCUUCCUCCAAGGCCAAGGUGCCUGAGAAUGGGGGGCAGUGCAGAGGAGGUCCAUCAAAACUGCAGUGAGGCUAGAGCCCCGAGCUGAGGGGUUUGCACCCAAAUAGCCGGCUUCGGUGGUUGUUGAUGAGUGUGGUUCCUCGGGCCAACAAGCUGAGGAGACCGAGGCACCGAACUUCCUACCCCCAGGAUAUGACAUGAAUGACCUUGCCCUAUGGACGGCUCGACACAUUCCUGAGGAGGAGAUCGCAGAUCUUGUCAAAACUCACCCGAUGUCCCUUCUGGGUGAUGUGGUUGCGGCCUGCUAUAAGUUCGUUCCUGAUCUUCUGUCUACACGUCAUUCGAUAACUCGGGUGGCCAAGGAACGUGAACAAGUAGGGGCGGCGCUUCAAGUCAAGAUCGCCAAGGUCAAAGCUUUGGAGCAGGCUCUGAGGAGAUCUGGGGAGGGGCAGACUACUCUAAAGAUCUAGCUGGGCGAAGCCCACCAGAAGGAGGCCCUGGUCCAGACUGAGUUGGAGGGGACGAGGUCUGGCCUUUCCCAUGCUGAAAAGGGACAGACCGAGGUGGAAACUAAGAUUGUUAUGUCAGAGGCCGAGAUGGCCGAGGUGCGAGCCAGUUCAGCAACUUCGGUGUCUAAGUUGAUCGAGAGGGAGGCCAACCUAGCAGCCAUGCUGGCGAAGAUCAAGGCCUCCAUCAUGUCGAUCCGAGCGGCGACGAUGGGGGAGUACAAGGCCUCGUCGGAGGAAGCUAAUGAGGCAAAGGUAUAUUAUAGCCUUGGCUAUGAAAAAUGCCUCGAGGACGUCAAGGGAAAAUUUCCCGAGCUAGAUCUAAGCGACCUCGAGGGGGGAUCAUCUGACUACCCGACCCGAGCAAUGCCGAAGCCGAGCAGGCUACUUGAACCAACUAACCCCUAAUCCCCCUAUUAUCAUUUUUGUUUCUCUCUCUUGUAAUCCAUUUUAGAUUAAUAAAAGAAUCAAUU
Magnolia sinica is the source of this 1986-nucleotide long non-coding RNA. RefSeq lists it as uncharacterized. The transcript has 3 exons. The record is from RefSeq and is a predicted model, not a curated record. NCBI's taxonomy places the organism in Eukaryota, Viridiplantae, Streptophyta, Magnoliopsida, Magnoliales, Magnoliaceae.